UGCUCAGGACGAACGCUGGCGGCGUGCCUAAUACAUGCAAGUCGAGCGGACAGAUGGGAGCUUGCUCCCUGAUGUUAGCGGCGGACGGGUGAGUAACACGUGGGUAACCUGCCUGUAAGACUGGGAUAACUCCGGGAAACCGGGGCUAAUACCGGAUGGUUGUUUGAACCGCAUGGUUCAGACAUAAAAGGUGGCUUCGGCUACCACUUACAGAUGGACCCGCGGCGCAUUAGCUAGUUGGUGAGGUAACGGCUCACCAAGGCGACGAUGCGUAGCCGACCUGAGAGGGUGAUCGGCCACACUGGGACUGAGACACGGCCCAGACUCCUACGGGAGGCAGCAGUAGGGAAUCUUCCGCAAUGGACGAAAGUCUGACGGAGCAACGCCGCGUGAGUGAUGAAGGUUUUCGGAUCGUAAAGCUCUGUUGUUAGGGAAGAACAAGUGCCGUUCAAAUAGGGCGGCACCUUGACGGUACCUAACCAGAAAGCCACGGCUAACUACGUGCCAGCAGCCGCGGUAAUACGUAGGUGGCAAGCGUUGUCCGGAAUUAUUGGGCGUAAAGGGCUCGCAGGCGGUUUCUUAAGUCUGAUGUGAAAGCCCCCGGCUCAACCGGGGAGGGUCAUUGGAAACUGGGGAACUUGAGUGCAGAAGAGGAGAGUGGAAUUCCACGUGUAGCGGUGAAAUGCGUAGAGAUGUGGAGGAACACCAGUGGCGAAGGCGACUCUCUGGUCUGUAACUGACGCUGAGGAGCGAAAGCGUGGGGAGCGAACAGGAUUAGAUACCCUGGUAGUCCACGCCGUAAACGAUGAGUGCUAAGUGUUAGGGGGUUUCCGCCCCUUAGUGCUGCAGCUAACGCAUUAAGCACUCCGCCUGGGGAGUACGGUCGCAAGACUGAAACUCAAAGGAAUUGACGGGGGCCCGCACAAGCGGUGGAGCAUGUGGUUUAAUUCGAAGCAACGCGAAGAACCUUACCAGGUCUUGACAUCCUCUGACAAUCCUAGAGAUAGGACGUCCCCUUCGGGGGCAGAGUGACAGGUGGUGCAUGGUUGUCGUCAGCUCGUGUCGUGAGAUGUUGGGUUAAGUCCCGCAACGAGCGCAACCCUUGAUCUUAGUUGCCAGCAUUCAGUUGGGCACUCUAAGGUGACUGCCGGUGACAAACCGGAGGAAGGUGGGGGAUGACGUCAAAUCAUCAUGCCCCUUAUGACCUGGGCUACACACGUGCUACAAUGGACAGAACAAAGGGCAGCGAAACCGCGAGGUUAAGCCAAUCCCACAAAUCUGUUCUCAGUUCGGAUCGCAGUCUGCAACUCGACUGCGUGAAGCUGGAAUCGCUAGUAAUCGCGGAUCAGCAUGCCGCGG
Molecule: ribosomal RNA, 1359 nt
Filed under: Bacillus velezensis
Lineage: Bacteria; Bacillati; Bacillota; Bacilli; Caryophanales; Bacillaceae
Description: bacterial SSU rRNA
Rfam family: Bacterial small subunit ribosomal RNA
Source: RNAcentral